RNAcentral lists this long non-coding RNA (1779 nucleotides) under Stylophora pistillata. RNAcentral's name for it is "uncharacterized LOC111319229". Lineage: Eukaryota; Metazoa; Cnidaria; Anthozoa; Scleractinia; Pocilloporidae. The record is from RNAcentral.
UAGAACUGAUCUUUUUUUCUCAUCAUUUUUACAGUAAUGAAGUGUCUCUUGGAGGCUCACGACUCGAACCGAGCACGUUUUGACAAGGAAUGCCUGACAUAUUUGACAAGCAGAAUGAAGAUGUGGGAAGUGGCUGCUAGGGUUGCCCCACCUGAAACCAUCGGUGAUCUUGCUGUUGCUAUCUCCGCUUCGCCUUCCAAGAACUACUUCUUCGUCAUUUUCGCUACAUGCUUAGCUCUUAUUUUUGUUGGCGGACUUGUGUUUGGUCGUCUUUCCAAGAGAAUCAAAAGGGAGGUUAAGGACCGAUGAACGCGGGACCACAUGAACAUAGUACUAACAAACACCAUGCCCCUCCAACAAGAGAAUUGAUUUUCUGACGAAGGACUCUCUGGACAUUGGAUUCCUGUACAAAAUAGCGUUCGAUCCACUUAAAGUAGUUAGGUCAUUGGUGGAAUCUACAAACCAAACCUGGGUCAAAAUAAUUAAUUGAACUAUUUUAUCCCUUACAUUUUUUCGCGCGAAAAUCCUUUCACCGCCGCGGCCAUUUUAUAUGGGAAAGGGCCCUUGUUUGCACACCUUACACUGUUUAGGAUAAAGUGUGUUCAUUUGAUACAUUUGGUUUAUUUUGUACAGUAUCUUCUAUAUAUCAGCAAUUAAAUUUUCAUUUUUCACUUAAAGUAAACGAAAGAAGUACAGGUGUUUGUCGUUUAACCCAAGUGCAAUUCCAAGCGGUGAUGUUGACAUGGAGUCCAGCUUUAGGCAGAAUGAAAGCUUAGAUACUGAAUCAAUAAUGGAAUUUUUUGUUGGUUUACAAGGAUUCGUUUGUAUCGGGAAAAAUAAAAUGAGUAACGUUUAAUGCAGAACUACAUUUCAGUUGUUAAGGACUCUUCUCUUUGUACAGAGGGGCUCUAUGUUCGUCCUGUACCGAGUUUAUAGGCGAACCUUCAGAAGCAAGAAGGUAAUGUUGCUGUAUUGAAAGUGAAGGGUUUGCCGGAUAUCUUAUAGCUGGAUAUAUGGACAGUUUCCUGCUGUAGAUGGGCUGGUACAAGUCUACCUUACACAACUUUCUUACUGUUGUUCUCUUCUUACAUUUCUGCCCCAGUGUUCAGUGUAAUCCCUAAAACACGAUGAACGUUAGAAAAAAAUAUGAAUAAAUUCAUCAUUGAAUUAGACUUAGCAAGCAAAGGUAUUCUGUAAGGUAUUAAGCUUUGUUUUGAAGUUAAGCAGUAGUGCCAUUAAAAUAUUUUUUCGCUGUCUUAAAUUGAUGUGUUUGGCGAAAUGCAUAAAUACUUACUAUUUAUGUUUACGUUAAGUGAGGAGUCGAGUUGCCCCCAAGAUCAAGAGGCAGAUCAGCAAGUUCUUUCCUAAGCUCGUAGAGUCUAUUGUCCCCGACAGUCACUUAACGCCUUUGGUCUAAGAAGGUUGUCAGCGUGUUCUUGCAAGUACUAAUAAAGAAUUUGUUUUUUAGCUGGACGUUGGAAAAAAAGUCUGUUUAUAAGUGAAUUAAAUUAUUUGUCAAAACCAAUAGAGAAACUCGACAGCUUUCCUAAAGGCUUCGUCAAAAGAUCUUAUCACCAAUGGAGACCGCUGAGUUAAAAAGAUUGCCAACCCCGGCUUAUCAUGGGGUAUUUGUUCCGCUCUUAGAGUGCUUUCAGAGGGCUCUUGAUAUUUUUGGGAUUAUAUGAACAAUAUUCUGUGCGGUCCAUUUAUAGUUAGUGUGUGAAAAAUAAAACUCGUUGUGUAGUUAAAUGUGAAUGGUUAUUAAAACUUUGCAAGGAA